This 433-nucleotide ribosomal RNA is filed under the name uncultured bacterium. Its description in RNAcentral is "partial 16S ribosomal RNA". It matches the Rfam family "Bacterial small subunit ribosomal RNA", at positions 29 to 507 of the family's 1533-position model. The record is from RNAcentral.
AACGAACGCUGGCGGCAGGCCUAACACAUGCAAGUCGAGCGAGCAUUUCGGUGCUAGCGGCGGACGGGUGAGUAACGCGUAGGAACGUGCCCUUUUCUGCGGAAUAGUCCUGGGAAACUGGGGGUAAUACCGCAUACGCCCUUUUGGGGAAAGAUUUAUCGGAGAAGGAUCGGCCCGCGUUGGAUUAGGUAGUUGGUGGGGUAAUGGCCCACCAAGCCGACGAUCCAUAGCUGGUUUGAGAGGAUGAUCAGCCACACUGGGACUGAGACACGGCCCAGACUCCUACGGGAGGCAGCAGUGGGGAAUCUUAGACAAUGGGGGCAACCCUGAUCUAGCCAUGCCGCGUGAGUGAUGAAGGCCUUAGGGUUGUAAAGCUCUUUCAGCUGGGAAGAUAAUGACGGUACCAGCAGAAGAAGCCCCGGCUAACUCCGUG